This is a long non-coding RNA of Lemur catta (Ring-tailed lemur), 1210 nucleotides long. RefSeq lists it as uncharacterized. The record is from RefSeq and is a predicted model, not a curated record. The transcript is spliced from 3 exons. Lineage: Eukaryota; Metazoa; Chordata; Mammalia; Primates; Lemuridae.
GAGCAAUAAAUUUCUAUUUUUUAUAAAUUACCCAAUCUAAGAUAUUUUGUUACAGCAACCUGAAUAGACUAAGACAGUCCCACAGAGUUUAGCAAUGACUCCAAAGAAAGGAGGGAAUGCAAGUUGACUGAGGUUAAUGUUGGUCAGGAUCAUUUAUUCCCUAUCCCUGAAGUUUUCUUCCUUGUAGAGAGUAACAGUUUUGGCCUCUCUCUGCCUCUUCACCAGGCACUGAUUUGCCUGAUUGGUGAGUUUGGGAUAAAGAAUAACGUGCUACUUCUAGAACAUUUUGAAAAUAUAUUCCCUUUUCUUUCUUCCAUGCAUACAUGGCCUGUUUGUUUUUCAGGUCUUUUUCAUUUCUUCCCUAGAUGAUUUCAACAUAGGGAAUAUAGCUUCCUCCCUGUCCAUCACACCUUUCCCCUCAAUCUAUCCACCAUGCUUCUGUCAAAAUUAUCUUUCUAUAACAAAAAUUUGUUCUGUUGCCCCCUUGCUACUCUUCAGUAGUUCCCAGCACCUUCUGCUACCUGAGCCCUUGGGCUUCCUUCCAGCCUCAUUUCUCAUUCGCAGCGGUCACUCCAGAAUACUGUUCUUCCUGUCUGGGAAGCUUCUCCUGCCUCAUCACCACAUCAGAUUCCUUUUCAUCCAUCAGGUCUCCACUCUCACUUCACCUCUUUGGUGAAGAUCUCCAUGACACAUGUUGCCUUCCCCAUGCACAGGGCUGGCACUCUAUACAUGUUGUGCCUGCAUUUUUACGUACCUGCCCAGCCCCUCUUCCCACUAGGAGUGGUGGAGCAAGAACCUCCACCCCAAGAGUUGCUUAUCCGUUUGUCCACUCAUCAUGUUACUAUAUUUACUGAUUUAUUUUUAUCUAGUGAGCUGGGUUACUGAGUCUUAGAGGCUUGAAAUCUAUUCUUUUCUCUUUCUCCACAUGAUAAUGAAAAUUGGAACUCUGGUUAAUGCAAUCUAUUCUCUCUCACUGUGGCUGUUCCACUGAACAUCAGCAACUAGCUGUUUCCUGCUUCUGGCACAGGAAGACAAAUCAAAUGAAAAAGAAAAUGAGGUUGGAAUGUGUCCCCCCAUAAUUGGUAUGUUGAAGUCCUAAAAUUGGAGUUAUGUUGCCACAAGCCCAGGAACUACCAGGAGCUGGGAGAGCACCUGGAACAGAACCUUCCCUGGGGCCUUCAGAGGGAGCACAGCUCUGCUGACACCUUGA